Molecule: long non-coding RNA, 243 nt
Organism: Peromyscus eremicus (cactus mouse)
Lineage: Eukaryota; Metazoa; Chordata; Mammalia; Rodentia; Cricetidae
Exons: 3
Source: RefSeq, a predicted model, not a curated record
CUCUGCACAGUGGGGGCCGAUGGGCGGCUCCUUGCUUUCUCGCCCCUCUUUUCUCUUCAGAUUUGAAGAUGAACCGAGAGUUUUUGGAACAAAACAGCCAGAAAGAUGUGCUCUGUGUCACUUGUCCUGGAAGAGUAUGGCUCAUCAUUGUCUUUCUCCAGGAUCCCACCAAGCAGCCCCCAGAAAAAUGAAAGUGUGCAAGUUUUCUAAUGAAUAUUGGGUACCAUGGAGAACAGAGGGAGG